RNAcentral lists this ribosomal RNA (250 nucleotides) under uncultured bacterium. RNAcentral describes it as "partial 16S ribosomal RNA". It matches the Rfam family "Bacterial small subunit ribosomal RNA", at positions 524 to 771 of the family's 1533-position model. The record is from RNAcentral.
UACGUAGGUGGCAAGCGUUGUCCGGAUUUACUGGGCGUAAAGCGAACGCAGGCGGACUGUUAAGUAGGAAGUGAAAGGUUGGAGCUCAACUCUAACACUGCUCCCUAUACUGGCAGUCUUGAGUGGCGGAGAGGGAGAUGGAACGACACGUGUAGCGGUGAAAUGCGUUGAUAUGUGUCGGAACACCAAUGGCGAAAGCAAUCUCCUGGACGCAAACUGACGCUGAGGUUCGAAAGCCAAAGGUGAGCAA